Molecule: ribosomal RNA, 846 nt
Filed under: uncultured bacterium
Lineage: Bacteria
Description: partial 16S ribosomal RNA
Source: RNAcentral
CUUAAGCUAAUCUCAAACUAGGACCGAGUCCUGCUUWYDACCDCCGCACGAAUUGUGUACGUUCAGCUCGCCAUUCCGGGAAGCCCCAUGUGCUCGCCGCUUGCCCACUCAUUGUGCACCCACUAGACGGAGCAUGAAGCCCUAUUCGGACCCUUUGACCCAGAUUAUGGCCUAUACUGGUGUACGACGUACCACACACCACCUUUCUAAAUAGCCACGCUCUACCCGGGCGCCGGAUAGUCGAACAACCACCCCAUUACCGGAUGGUUCCGCUGCUGCCCAUCGGCUGGACUCUCCCACUGGCCGGUGUGACCCUGACUCUGUGCCGGGUCUGAGGAUGCCCUCCGUCGUCACCCCUUAUAACCUGUUACCCGCGUUGGGAUUAGGUCGUUACGGCGCACACACUUCUUCCGGAAGCCCAACAUUUCGUGAAAAUAGCCCUUGCUUUUCGCAUGCCGAUUAUAGGCACGCACGACUGCCAUGGGCUCCUUAUUCGUGGCCGAUUGAAGCACGGUCGUCGGCGCCAUUAUGCUUCCCACGUUCGCAAUUAGCCUUAAUGACCCGCAUUUCGCACGCAUCCACCAGAAAAUUCAGGCAACACUUUCGGGACCCGAGUUGGACCCUUACCGUCACCUAUGACCCUCCGAUCUCAUGCCAUCUCCUACCACCUUAAGGGCCACAUCGCCACUUUACGCAUCUCUAGCCCUCCUUGUAGUCACCGCUUCCGCCGGUAGACCUGGUCAUGACUGCGACUCCGUGCUUUCGCACCNCUWGUUUGURVURAKRUAUGGGACCAUCAGUUAGUWAUCACUUAMWCWCCWWCGGACGUCCAGCUGGUAUACCCUC